This is a long non-coding RNA of Sarcophilus harrisii (Tasmanian devil), 610 nucleotides long. RefSeq lists it as uncharacterized. The transcript is spliced from 2 exons. The record is from RefSeq and is a predicted model, not a curated record. NCBI's taxonomy places the organism in Eukaryota, Metazoa, Chordata, Mammalia, Dasyuromorphia, Dasyuridae.
AGGGAGGGCUGGGCAGGGUCACUUGCCUCACUUUCCCCUCCAGAGCCAUCUAGGGGAGGUCAAUCUAAUCCAAGAAGCAUAUUUCCCAUCUUUUGCCUCUCUCUCUCCUUCAUUUCAUUUGUAAAUAUCUUUCUUUUCUUUCCUACUCAGGGACUGUUUGAAAGAAAAAAAGGGGAGGACUGAGGAGAGAGAGUGAAAACUAAUACAUCAACUGAGGAUGAUGGGAAAUGCAAUGUUUCAAACCUAUGGGCUCUCCCUUUACUUUUUUAAUGAAGGAAGGGAGGAUGGAGCUUCAACUAUCAUUUAAGUCUUUACCUUGUACCAAGGACUGCAUCAGGUGCUGGAGAUACAGAAAUAAAACAAGUCCUGCCCUCGGGGAGCUUACAUUCUCCGGUGAAGAAGGAGGAAGCAAAAGACCACAGUCAUUCCAAGAAGGGGAGAACGUUACCAAAUGGGCUUUGAAUGAGGUGGCAACUGAAAUGAAGAUGGGCCUAUGGAAGAAGCAUAGGAACAGAGUCUUGGAGCUGAGGGAGACACUUCAGAGGCCAUCUCCUCCAACCUGUUCGUUUUUUCAUCUUUUUUUUAAUGAUAUAAAUCCAUUAACCCCUUG